RNAcentral lists this unclassified non-coding RNA (253 nucleotides) under uncultured Solirubrobacterales bacterium. RNAcentral describes it as "contains 16S-23S intergenic spacer region". It matches the Rfam family "Bacterial small subunit ribosomal RNA", at positions 524 to 776 of the family's 1533-position model. Lineage: Bacteria; Bacillati; Actinomycetota; Thermoleophilia; Solirubrobacterales. The record is from RNAcentral.
UACGUAGGGGGCAAGCGUUGUCCGGAAUCAUUGGGCGUAAAGAGCGCGUAGGCGGUCCGGUAAGUCCGCUGUGAAAGUCAAGGGCUCAACCCUUGGAUGCCGGCGGAUACUGCCGGGCUAGAGUCCGGAAGAGGCGAGUGGAAUUCCUGGUGUAGCGGUGAAAUGCGCAGAUAUCAGGAGGAACACCAAUGGCGAAAGCAGCUCGCUGGGACGGUACUGACGCUGAGGCGCGAAAGCGUGGGGAGCAAACAGG